This 457-nucleotide long non-coding RNA is filed under the name Felis catus (domestic cat). RNAcentral describes it as "lncRNA (ENSFCAG00000047902.1)". Lineage: Eukaryota; Metazoa; Chordata; Mammalia; Carnivora; Felidae. The record is from RNAcentral.
GGUGGAGUUCGGUUAACAUUGUUUUGUUUUUGUUUUUUUUCCAAUUGUCAUGACAUUGCAGAAAUACUUCAGGAAGUGCUGUUUUCUUCUUGAAGUCCCUUCAUCUCGUUCUGCCUAUACAGUGGCUACAAGAACUUCCGCAAAACUUCUAUUGGAAGAUGGACCCCCGGAUGUAUUUCCUGACUCAUUAGAAACUAAUUUGUGUGAAAAUGAUUCAUCAAAUGCUGAACUGAAAACACUCUUUCCUGCUUGUUUCUAGAUAUUUGAAAAAGCUGAAUUUCACAACAGCCUUGUCAGAAUCAAGCCCAAAUCAGGUGACUUAAUGGAGUGUCUACUGAGUGAAGAAUUAGCAUUAACAUCCUGAAAGAAAAUAAGCACAAGUACAGAAACUGCUCCAGCACUUGAAGCCAUAUGACUAUAUAGAAUAGGCGUUUAGAAUUUAAUAUUAAUAAAUAUG